CCCCCGCUCAGCACGGGCGCAGGACCGCCCUCCUCCUCACACGCGGCCCACGAAGUAGUAGCGCAGAAGCACAAUCAUCCCCGCGACGAGGUGGAGUGGGAGGAGCACGGCGGCCGCAAGCGUAAGCCGCAGCGCCUCCGCCGACGCCAGCGGGCCGCGACAGAUGACCCCAUCCAGCUCCUCCGGCGGCUCCCCGCCUACCGCCUGGGCAGGCGCGGUGGCUGCGACCACAUCGGAGAGGAGCGGGCUCUCCGUGUGGGCCCCGGCGGCGGCGCACCGGCACUGUGGAGAGCUAUUGGGCAUCCCCGCGGAAGGGCCGAGCGCCGGGCCGGAUCGGCGCGGAGCGACGAAGAUGGGGGCGCGAGCAGUGGAGCGACAGCUCUUCGACGGAGGCCAUAGCGGCGGCAGAGAUGUACUCACGGACCGCGACGGCGGCGUCAGAAGCGUAUUGGCCGGUGAUUGAGUCAUUGAGUGGAUAGGCGUCCUCCUCCAGGCCCUGCUCCAUAUCCUCCACGGCAUCCCAUCCUGCGCCUAGCUCCUGACCAUCGCCGAGAUGCUGAGAACAGCGAUGGCCGCUUGGUUCCCUCCACCCAUUGCCUCCUGCCCCAAGCCUAGGUGAAGCCUGGGCCAAAAAGACGGCCGAGCUGCGCCAAGCUACUCCCUGACGGUCGAGCUGCUCUUGACUAGAGCCUGCUACUCCCGACCAAGCACACGCAAAGGCAACCAACAUUACCUGCACUACCUGCAAGUGUUCGACAAAAUGCCUAGCCUAACGUAUAGCUUCAUUCACCACUAUCCAAUUUCUAUUCUGCAAAUGACGUCAACAGAAUUAUAUUUUUACAAGCAUGGUGCACGAGAUGGAGUUCUGACUUACUAAUGAGUAUUUAUUAAAAGAAAAAUACACGUCAUAUUUAGUUCAUGUAUUACAUAGAAGUAAUCUCAUAAAAAAACUAAUACAGAAUUUAAUGUUUGCAGGUAUACAGCUCAAUCAAAGUUCUAUGCAAAAAGGGUGUAGAGCUCAAUCAAAGUUCUUUGGAAAAAGAUAGCCAUUAUAAGGAAAACAUCUACUGCUGCUACAAUGAUGUAUGAACAUGAGAAAGCAAGAUGUUAUUCUGAAGACACCGCUGCUAGGAAAUGGCUGAGGAAACGAGGUUUUGCAGUUUUGUUGUUCUGAAUAGCGGCAAGCUCUGCAAUACGCUGGUUCACUCAAUCAAUAUAUUAAAUAUUACUUGGCAAAUCUGCCUGAUACACUGCUUCUCCUAAAAAAGUAUUCUUGAUGCUUA
Panicum virgatum (switchgrass) is the source of this 1283-nucleotide long non-coding RNA. RefSeq lists it as uncharacterized. The record is from RefSeq and is a predicted model, not a curated record. NCBI's taxonomy places the organism in Eukaryota, Viridiplantae, Streptophyta, Magnoliopsida, Poales, Poaceae. The transcript has 4 exons.